Molecule: RNA transcript, 1563 nt
Organism: Quercus robur (English oak)
Lineage: Eukaryota; Viridiplantae; Streptophyta; Magnoliopsida; Fagales; Fagaceae
Exons: 5
Source: RefSeq, a predicted model, not a curated record
AUUUAUUACAUGAGCUCAUUGAGCUAUCCAGUGUGUCCCCCUCCCAAAAAGAAAAAAAAAAAAAAGGAAGAAGAAGAAGAAGCUAGAGUCCAUGGAAGAAACCAACGUGAGUUUGAAACUUAUGAUAGACAGAGAGAGUGCUUUUUGUUGAAGCGGGCAAGGAAUUCAUCGAUUUUCUCUUUCAAAUUCUGGCCCUACCCGUCGGAACUUUCAUUCCACUUUUCGAAAAGCAAGGAAUGCAGGGCAGCUUCGGGAAUAUUUUCGAGAGCAUUGAAAAUUUAGGUAGUAUUUACCUUCAACCAAGCGUGAACAAAGAGAUUCUCCUGAAGCCCAAAGUCCGCAUCUCUGGCGGUGGUGGUUCUGGGCUCCCUCCCCUAUUGCAAAACGUUGAAUCAUCACAAUCAUCAUCAUCUUCGAGAUCCACGAAAUUCUAAAAUGUCAGCAGUAGCUGUGACCCAUAUGUAGCUUAUGACAUUAGAGCAAUCUGUCCUUCGUGUUCCCGGGUUAUGAACUGCGAGCAACAUAUGGUAGACCGACCAAGUCCAAGCGCAACGAAAACGAGUUCCUCAUGUACUGAGAGAGGGUACGUGAAAGGGCUGGUUACAUACAUGGUGAUGGAUGAUCUAGAGGUGAAACUUAUGUCCACCAUCUCUAGUAUCACUCUGCUAAUUAACAAGUUUAAUGUCAAGGGAAUAAGGGCUCUUGAGGAGAAGGUGGUCAAUUUUGGCAUGGAUGAGAACUGAUUGUCAUAGCGUUCUUGGACUCUCAAGCAGGCCUGAAAAUGCGCUAGGCAAAAAGGCACCAGUAAAAAUCAUUUCGACGAUGGAGUCAAAAUCAUAAGAAAUUCGGAAAUUAAGCAUCAUGUGUACUUUCUUCUUACUUCUAUGACAUCAUGUAACGCCCUAGCCCAAGUAAAAAAAAACGUGGUCAGAUUUUUGACUCACGUGAGCCCCACCCACCUACCCCUUAAUUCCCCACCACUCAUUUUCUCUCAAAAUUUCUCCCUUUUGGCCUGCUGGCUCUCCUCUCUUCUCACUUUGCUCUCUUUUUCUUUUUCAUUUUGUCUCAAACACCCACGAUCCUCUCUCACACUCCCUCACUCUCCCACCGGUGCAUCACUCCACCGCCUCCAUCAUUAUCUUCCGGCGAAAAAGCUCCAUAAAAACCUCUUAAGCUCCUACAUCUCAUCUUAUUUAAGGUUCUAACUAAUCUCCUUUGGAGUUUUGGAACUAAGCUUCUUGCGGGUUGCAAGAGUGGGCAACAAUCUUUUGAGACAGCUUUUUGGUGGCUAACAGUAGUUAGACUAACUAUUGAUGUAGGCUGAACUUUUGUAAUGGGUUAUUAGAUGGUGUACAUCUUAGAAUAGGCUUGACUUAUUCUUUUGUAUAUUAUAGUGGUUGUUACGUUAUUUCCACUGAUGGGACAAGCUAAUGGUAUGUAAUUAAUUAUUCAGACUUCUAUUCUUUUGUGGCCAAUGGUCCUUGUAAUUAUUGCUUAGAGCUCUGAUUUACUUUGAGAGUAUAUUCAAUGAAAUUAUUAUGAUAAUUUUUUAUGUUAGUACUU